RNAcentral lists this ribosomal RNA (387 nucleotides) under uncultured bacterium. RNAcentral's name for it is "bacterial SSU rRNA". It matches the Rfam family "Bacterial small subunit ribosomal RNA", at positions 28 to 417 of the family's 1533-position model. The record is from RNAcentral.
GACGAACGCUGGCGGCGUGCUUAACACAUGCAAGUCGAGCGGUAAGGCCCUUUCGGGGGUACACGAGCGGCGAACGGGUGAGUAACACGUGGGUGACCUGCCCUCAGCUCUGGGAUAAGCCUGGGAAACCGGGCCUAAUACUGGAUAUGACUCCAUGACGCAUGUUGUGGGGUGGAAGGCCUUGUGCGGCUGAGGAUGGGCCCGCGGCCUAUCAGCUUGUUGGUGGGGUGAGGCCUACCAAGGCGACGACGGGUAGCCGGCCUGAGAGGGCGACCGGCCACACUGGGACUGAGACACGGCCCAGACUCCUACGGGAGGCAGCAGUGGGGAAUCUUGCGCAAUGGGCGAAAGCCUGACGCAGCGACGCCGCGUGAGGGAUGACGGCCU